GAUGAAGAACGCAGCGAAAUGCGAUACGUAGUGUGAAUUGCAGAAUUCAGUGAAUCAUCGAAUCUUUGAACGCACAUUGCACCUCUCGGUAUUCCGGGAGGUAUGCCUGUUCGAGCGUCAUUUGUACCCUCAAGCUCUGCUUGGUGUUGGGUGUUUGUUCCGCCUCUGUGUGUGAACUCGCCUCAAAACAUUUGGCAGCCGGCGUACUUGUUUCGGAGCGCAGCACAUUUUGCGAUCCAGAUCAACGUACAGCGGCAUCCAAGAAGCCUUAUUUAACGCUCUUGACCUCGGAUCAGGUAGGGAUACCCGCUGAACUUAAGCAUAUCAAUAAGCGGAGGA
Molecule: unclassified non-coding RNA, 339 nt
Filed under: soil metagenome
Description: partial contains 5.8S ribosomal RNA, internal transcribed spacer 2, and large subunit ribosomal RNA
Rfam family: 5.8S ribosomal RNA (bases 1-120)
Source: RNAcentral